GGGAAUAUUGGACAAUGGGCGCAAGCCUGAUCCAGCCAUGCCGCGUGAGUGAUGAAGGCCUUAGGGUUGUAAAGCUCUUUUAUCCGGGACGAUAAUGACGGUACCGGAGGAAUAAGCCCCGGCUAACUUCGUGCCAGCAGCCGCGGUAAUACGAAGGGGGCUAGCGUUGCUCGGAAUCACUGGGCGUAAAGGGCGCGUAGGCGGCGUUUUAAGUCGGGGGUGAAAGCCUGUGGCUCAACCACAGAAUGGCCUUCGAUACUGGGACGCUUGAGUAUGGUAGAGGUUGGUGGAACUGCGAGUGUAGAGGUGAAAUUCGUAGAUAUUCGCAAGAACACCGGUGGCGAAGGCGGCCAACUGGACCAUCACUGACGCUGAGGCGCGAAAGCGUGGGGAGCAAAC
Molecule: ribosomal RNA, 399 nt
Filed under: uncultured bacterium
Lineage: Bacteria
Description: bacterial SSU rRNA
Rfam family: Bacterial small subunit ribosomal RNA
Source: RNAcentral